AUUGAACGCUGGCGGAACGCUUUACACAUGCAAGUCGAACGGUAACGCGGUGAGAAGCUUGCUUCUCACCGGCGACGAGUGGCGAACGGGUGAGUAAUACAUCGGAACGUGUCCGCUCGUGGGGGACAGCCAGCCGAAAGGUUGGCUAAUACCGCAUGAGUUCUACGGAAGAAAGAGGGGGACCCGCAAGGGCCUCUCGCGAGCGGAGCGGCCGAUGACUGAUUAGCCGGUUGGUGAGGUAACGGCUCACCAAAGCAACGAUCAGUAGCUGGUCUGAGAGGACGACCAGCCACACUGGGACUGAGACACGGCCCAG
RNAcentral lists this ribosomal RNA (316 nucleotides) under uncultured bacterium. RNAcentral's name for it is "bacterial SSU rRNA". It matches the Rfam family "Bacterial small subunit ribosomal RNA", at positions 30 to 334 of the family's 1533-position model. The record is from RNAcentral.